This 497-nucleotide ribosomal RNA is filed under the name uncultured bacterium. RNAcentral's name for it is "partial 16S ribosomal RNA". It matches the Rfam family "Bacterial small subunit ribosomal RNA", at positions 28 to 507 of the family's 1533-position model. The record is from RNAcentral.
GACGAACGCUGGCGGCGUGCCUAAUACAUGCAAGUUGAGCGCUGAAGGUUGGUACUUGUACCAACUGGAUGAGCAGCGAACGGGUGCGUAACGCGUGGGGAAUCUGCCUUUGAGCGGGGGACAACAUUUGGAAACGAAUGCUAAUACCGCAUAAAAACUUUAAACACAAGUUUUAAGUUUGAAAGAUGCAAUUGCAUCACUCAAAGAUGAUCCCGCGUUGUAUUAGCUAGUUGGUGAGGUAAAGGCUCACCAAGGCGAUGAUACAUAGCCGACCUGAGAGGGUGAUCGGCCACAUUGGGACUGAGACACGGCCCAAACUCCUACGGGAGGCAGCAGUAGGGAAUCUUCGGCAAUGGACGAAAGUCUGACCGAGCAACGCCGCGUGAGUGAAGAAGGUUUUCGGAUCGUAAAACUCUGUUGGUAGAGAAGAACGUUGGUGAGAGUGGAAAGCUCAUCAAGUGACGGUAACUACCCAGAAAGGGACGGCUAACUACGUG